UGAAGAUUUUUUUUUCAUACUUUGGUGCAUUGUUAACGAGAAUCAGUGUUGAUUUCAUAUACGAGAACGAAGGGAUUUUAUCGUCUUGCGGAACGCGUAUCGAUACGGAACGAGGAACGUGAUCGGCAGGCCGUGAAAAUAUGAACAACAAAAGAGCCUUAUCCACUGUACACGAGAGAAUGCAAGUAAUGAUGAAGGUAUUCUAAUUAAGUGUUCGAAGUACAAAUAUGCGUCCUGCAUAAUUGAUUUUUUUAUUUUUAACGAGCGUUUAAGUUGCCAAAUACCGGAAGAAACAUCUUAGUCGCGUGUAUCUUCUCUCGCUCUUUCUCUUUCUUUUUUUCUCUUUCGAGGACGAAAGUUCGAGUUCGCAAGUUUGGACAUUUCAAGGUUCUCCGAAAAUGCCUUCCUAUCUUUUAUUCUUUUUUAUACUUGCGUUCGGUCACGCUUCUUCGUAUGGCUUUUAUCGAUUAAAAAACAUAUGACCAUACGAAUUUGAAGAAAUAUUUUAGUCAUCGACGAAUUUACAAGGAUAUCUUUUCAGCGAGUAUUUAUAUUUACAUUUACGAUCUAUGUAAAUGGAAAUUUGAAUAAUAUUCUGUAAUGUGGGAUAUUUUACUCUCAAAUGGACUAUGGUGUCGCAGUAUCCGCGCAGAAACAAGACAGGACCUAGGACAAGGAGGAGGGUGCGCUCAGUAUUGAUUUUAGGGCUACCAACAGUUCUUCCAUAGAGCCAGGACACAUGUUCUCAAACAAGGACGAUAUACCCCGCUUUGUCCCGUAGAGAGAUUUUAAUCCGGCCCAUGUGCGUAUCCAAAACGAAUCCCUGAUCGAAUUCAUCAUCACGAUAUAAAGGCGCCUAGGGGAGAUAAUUCAAGAAAGAAGAUGAAAGAAAGGAAGGAAGGGAAAACGGAGGGGGAAUAGAGGUCGAUCAUCGAUCUUCCUAUGAAAGUUUGCCGAUGAGAAUCCUCACGAAAUAACAAUGUUCUCGCUCUUUUUCUUCGUUGCAUUCCACCAACACAUUUUGUCAUUGUACGACAAAAUGUCAUUCUAGUUAACUCGGGAUUUGAACUUGGGGACCCGCAUAUCCUGUGUAGUGUUUUCAUCAAUUAAACUACCCAAGACUCCAGAGUUUCCAUUCCUUUGUAACCUUUUAAGAUUAUUAUAAUAGUUUAGAAAAUAUAAGUAUCAUAGACUAUAUAGUGAAUAAAAUAAAAGUCUCAUUAAAUGUAACAUAGGAAAUGAGUAAGAGCUAAGUAUACCAUAUAUUUUGAUUGAAUUUCGUAUGAUGACAAAAUCAUUGUUUUUCAAAAGAAAGACCAAUGCGAUAAUAAACAUACAAAGUCUACUACAUUCUAUAAUCGUGUUCAGAUUGACAACGCAUGCGAUGCGACAAUGUUGUAUUUGUUAGUUGCAAUGUUUGAAAUUAAAAUUAGUUUGUUUUUUAUCGAAAUGCACGCAUGUCUUGUCGAUGUGACAAAGAAAAUAUUCUAAUGCUUCGUACUACUUUUAUUCUAUAUCUAUCUAUUACUAUGAGCAUCCGUAACGAAACAUGCAUUAGAUAAAAGUUGAAUGGUUUCGAACGGGGAUUCUGAUGUUAUUAGUUUUUUUUUCUAGAAG
This is a long non-coding RNA of Vespa velutina, 1617 nucleotides long. RefSeq lists it as uncharacterized. The record is from RefSeq and is a predicted model, not a curated record. The transcript is spliced from 3 exons. Lineage: Eukaryota; Metazoa; Arthropoda; Insecta; Hymenoptera; Vespidae.